AGGCAUCGAGAUGGUCAGCUGGAGGAUACAUGAUGGUGGAGUGAGGAGAUUGAGGGAGGUCUGAUACAUAUCCGAUUUUAGGUGGAAUCUUAUCUCACUGAGCAAACUGAAUUCGAGAGGCUACAGGAUGGUAGCUGAUAGAGAAAUCCUGAAGGUGUUGCAUGAUGAUAGAAUUAUUCUAGAGGAGAAGAAGAGGAUGAGAAGAUAUUACUACCUGACGAGGAGCCUAAUGUGAGGUGAAGCUUCAAGAGUCAGG
Molecule: long non-coding RNA, 256 nt
Filed under: Elaeis guineensis (African oil palm)
Lineage: Eukaryota; Viridiplantae; Streptophyta; Magnoliopsida; Arecales; Arecaceae
Description: long non-coding RNA (EGUI_LNC060356)
Source: RNAcentral